This 396-nucleotide ribosomal RNA is filed under the name uncultured bacterium. RNAcentral's name for it is "bacterial SSU rRNA". It matches the Rfam family "Bacterial small subunit ribosomal RNA", at positions 30 to 426 of the family's 1533-position model. The record is from RNAcentral.
AUUGAACGCUGGCGGCAUGCCUUACACAUGCAAGUCGAACGGUAACGGGUCCUUCGGGAUGCCGACGAGUGGCGAACGGGUGAGUAAUAUAUCGGAACGUGCCCAGUAGUGGGGGAUAACUGCUCGAAAGAGCAGCUAAUACCGCAUACGACCUGAGGGUGAAAGGGGGGGAUCGCAAGACCUCUCGCUAUUGGAGCGGCCGAUAUCAGAUUAGCUAGUUGGUGGGGUAAAGGCCUACCAAGGCAACGAUCUGUAGUUGGUCUGAGAGGACGACCAGCCACACUGGGACUGAGACACGGCCCAGACUCCUACGGGAGGCAGCAGUGGGGAAUUUUGGACAAUGGGCGCAAGCCUGAUCCAGCAAUGCCGCGUGCAGGAAGAAGGCCUUCGGUUGGU